GGGCAGCAUGGUCUUAGCUUGCUAAGGCUGAUGGCGACCGGCGCACGGGUGAGUAACACGUAUCCAACCUGCCGUCUACUCUUGGCCAGCCUUCUGAAAGGAAGAUUAAUCCAGGAUGGCAUCAUGAGUUCACAUGUCCGCAUGAUUAAAGGUAUUUUCCGGUAGACGAUGGGGAUGCGUUCCAUUAGAUAGUAGGCGGGGUAACGGCCCACCUAGUCAACGAUGGAUAGGGGUUCUGAGAGGAAGGUCCCCCACAUUGGAACUGAGACACGGUCCAAACUCCUACGGGAGGCAGCAGUGAGGAAUAUUGGUCAAUGGGCGAUGGCCUGAACCAGCCAAGUAGCGUGAAGGAUGACUGCCCUAUGGGUUGUAAACUUCUUUUAUAAAGGAAUAAAGUCGGGUAUGCAUACCCGUUUGCAUGUACUUUAUGAAUAAGGAUCGGCUAACUCCGUGCCAGCAGCCGCGGUAAUACGGAGGAUCCGAGCGUUAUCCGGAUUUAUUGGGUUUAAAGGGAGCGUAGAUGGAUGUUUAAGUCAGUUGUGAAAGUUUGCGGCUCAACCGUAAAAUUGCAGUUGAUACUGGAUGUCUUGAGUGCAGUUGAGGCAGGCGGAAUUCGUGGUGUAGCGGUGAAAUGCUUAGAUAUCACGAAGAACUCC
Molecule: ribosomal RNA, 656 nt
Filed under: uncultured Bacteroidales bacterium
Lineage: Bacteria; Pseudomonadati; Bacteroidota; Bacteroidia; Bacteroidales
Description: bacterial SSU rRNA
Rfam family: Bacterial small subunit ribosomal RNA
Source: RNAcentral